Molecule: ribosomal RNA, 874 nt
Filed under: uncultured bacterium
Lineage: Bacteria
Description: bacterial SSU rRNA
Rfam family: Bacterial small subunit ribosomal RNA
Source: RNAcentral
AUUGAACGCUGGCGGAAUGCUUUACACAUGCAAGUCGAACGGCAGCACGGACUUCGGUCUGGUGGCGAGUGGCGAACGGGUGAGUAACAUAUCGGAACGUAUCCAAUAAUGGGGGAUAACUAAUCGAAAGGUUGGCUAAUACCGCAUACGCCCUACGGGGGAAAGCAGGGGAUCUUCGGACCUUGCGUUAAUGGAGCGGCUGAUAUCUGAUUAGCUAGUUGGUGAGGUAAAGGCUCACCAAGGCGACGAUCAGUAGCUGGUCUGAGAGGACGACCAGCCACACUGGAACUGAGACACGGUCCAGACUCCUACGGGAGGCAGCAGUGGGGAAUUUUGGACAAUGGGCGCAAGCCUGAUCCAGCCAUUCCGCGUGAGUGAAGAAGGCCUUCGGGUUGUAAAGCUCUUUCGCAAGGGAAGAAAACUUACUUUUUAAUAAAGAGUGAGGUUGACGGUACCUUGAUAAGAAGCACCGGCUAACUACGUGCCAGCAGCCGCGGUAAUACGUAGGGUGCGAGCGUUAAUCGGAAUUACUGGGCGUAAAGCGUGCGCAGGCGGCUUUGUAAGUCAGAUGUGAAAUCCCCGAGCUCAACUUGGGAACUGCGUUUGAAACUACAAGGCUAGAAUAUGUCAGAGGGGGGUAGAAUUCCACGUGUAGCAGUGAAAUGCGUAGAGAUGUGGAGGAAUACCAAUGGCGAAGGCAGCCCCCUGGGAUAAUAUUGACGCUCAUGCACGAAAGCGUGGGGAGCAAACAGGAUUAGAUACCCUGGUAGUCCACGCCCUAAACGAUGUCUACUAGUUGUUGGUGGAGUAAAAUCCAUGAGUAACGCAGCUAACGCGUGAAGUAGACCGCCUGGGGAGUACGGUCGCAAGAUUA